RNAcentral lists this long non-coding RNA (627 nucleotides) under Eucalyptus grandis. RNAcentral describes it as "long non-coding RNA (EGRA_LNC005620)". Lineage: Eukaryota; Viridiplantae; Streptophyta; Magnoliopsida; Myrtales; Myrtaceae. The record is from RNAcentral.
AGAUUUCCCACGUUCUCAUCUCGUAAUUCUGAUACAAAAACAAAAUGGCGGAUGUCCGCUGUUCUUGCACAAGAAACAAAACAAGAGACGUAACGCGGAUUUGUUCCAAAGAUUCCUUCGCGACGAUGAUUGCUUAACCUUGGAUAAGAACAAAAGAGAAGACAAAAAAAAAAAAAAAAAAACCAACCCCUCGAUAGAAAAUCAAAAGCACAACGAAAAAGAAGAACUCUGAAGCAGGGUGCGCUCAUUUGAUUUGACUACAUUUAUGUCGGGCGCAUCGCCCCAUCUCUGCGACGUCCUUCCCUUUCCUUCUUCCUUUUUCGCAGUUCGAUAGAGAGAGAGAGAGAGAGCAAUGAAAGUCACUUCCCAGUGAAGCGGAAAGGUUAGAGCAAUGGUAGUGCACUUCGAAAGCUGAAAGGUGAUCUACCGCGGGAUAUUCUCUGCUUUUUGGAUAUCCCCUGUUUCGUCUUCUUGAUACCCGAUUAGAUUUAUGGACCCAAAUUUGCUCAUUUCGAACGCGCGUUCCGACGAGAAAGAUCGACAUUCGCUGGCUAUGGUAACUCGGCAUCGUGAUGAACUCUCGGUCACGAUUCGAUCCGGCUCAAUUUUAGAUUAUCCGAAGGGCCG